RNAcentral lists this ribosomal RNA (389 nucleotides) under uncultured bacterium. Its description in RNAcentral is "bacterial SSU rRNA". It matches the Rfam family "Bacterial small subunit ribosomal RNA", at positions 29 to 420 of the family's 1533-position model. The record is from RNAcentral.
AUUGAACGCUGGCGGCAUGCCUUACACAUGCAAGUCGAACGGCAGCACGGGGGCAACCCUGGUGGCGAGUGGCGAACGGGUGAGUAAUACAUCGGAACGUGUCCUGUCGUGGGGGAUAACUAGUCGAAAGAUUAGCUAAUACCGCAUGAGAUCGAGAGAUGAAAGCAGGGGACCGCAAGGCCUUGCGCGAUUGGAGCGGCCGAUGUCGGAUUAGCUAGNGGCGGGGUAAAGGCCCACCAAGGCGACGAUCCGUAGCUGGUUUGAGAGAACGACCAGCCACACUGGGACUGAGACACGGCCCAGACUCCUACGGGAGGCAGCAGUGGGGAAUUUUGGACAAUGGGGGCAACCCUGAUCCAGCCAUGCCGCGUGUGUGAAGAAGGCCUCGG